UACCCGAGCCACAAGUGGUGACCACGUUUAUUGGGCUUAGAGCGUUCGUAGCCGGCUAUUCAAGUCUCUAAUGAAAUCCAGCAGCUAACUGUUGGGCGUGUUAGGGAUACUGUUUAGCUUGGGACCGGGAGAGGUCUGGGGUAUUCUUGGGGUAGGAGUAAAAUCCUAUAAUCCCAAGAGGACCACCUGUGGCGAAGGCGCCAGACUAGAACGGAUCCGACGGUGAGGGACGAAAGCUAGGGGAGCGAAGCGGAUUAGAUACCCGCGUA
Molecule: ribosomal RNA, 269 nt
Filed under: uncultured prokaryote
Description: partial 16S ribosomal RNA
Rfam family: Archaeal small subunit ribosomal RNA
Source: RNAcentral